This 464-nucleotide ribosomal RNA is filed under the name uncultured bacterium. RNAcentral's name for it is "partial 16S ribosomal RNA". It matches the Rfam family "Bacterial small subunit ribosomal RNA", at positions 28 to 506 of the family's 1533-position model. The record is from RNAcentral.
GAUGAACGCUGGCGGCGUGCUUAACACAUGCAAGUCGAACGGAAAGGCUCCUGCUUGCAGGGGUACUCGAGUGGCGAACGGGUGAGUAACACGUGGGUGAUCUGCCCUGCACUUCGGGAUAAGCCUGGGAAACUGGGUCUAAUACCGGAUAGGACGAUGGUUUGGAUGCCAUUGUGGAAAGUUUUUCGGUGUGGGAUGAGCUCGCGGCCUAUCAGCUUGUUGGUGGGGGAAUGGCCUACCAAGGCGUCGACGGGUAGCCGGCCUGAGAGGGGGUACGGCCACAUUGGGACUGAGAUACGGCCCGGACUCCUACGGGGGGCAGCAGUGGGGAAUAUUGCACAAUGGGCGCAAGCCUGAUGCAGCGACGCCGCGUGGGGGAUGACGGCCUUCGGGUUGUAAACUCCUUUCGCUAGGGACGAAGCGCAAGUGACGGUACCUGGAGAAGAAGCACCGGCUAACUACGU